UCGAGGAAGUCGAAAUGGGUAAUAAUAAAAAACAGGAAUCACAACGAGCAACUCAGCAAGAAAGAAGAUCAAAGUUUAGAAUAAUUUUUGAACGUUUUAAAGAUAUAUUAUUGUCUAAUGUUUCGGUGGGAGAAAAAAUUUUUUUGUUGCUUCAGUUGAUUGUUGAACAAUGUAAAGUUGUUUUAAAGGAUAUGUUUACCGAUGGAGAGAUGUUAGGCAAAAUUUUUAAACUUUUUAAUGGAUAGACCUAUUAAAAAUUUUACUAUUAAUAUAUUACAGUGGAAUGCACAAAGCCUCAGACCCAAAUUGGCAAGUUUUGAAACAUUAUUGCAACAAGAAAAAAUACACAUAGCCAUUUUGAGUGAAACAUGGUUAGAGCCUGAAGCCUGUUUGAAGAUCCACGGAUAUAAUAUUUACAGAAGGGAUCGGCCUGAUACCUAUGGAGGAGUUGCCAUCAUAGUUCACAAAUCGAUUUCAGUACAGUCAUAAGGAUUUCAGUUGUUGUGAGGAUGAAAUUCAAGCCGCUUUGGAUGUAACCGUAUCUCUUUUAAAUGAUUUGGGAUUGGAGCUAUCUUCAAGUAAGACAAAACUAUGUGUAUUCAGUAGAGGUCGUAGGCAGCUGGUACCCAAUGUUAAAAUAAAUUCGGUGACAUUAUCUUCCAGCGAGUGUAUAAAAUAUUUGGGACUAUGGUUGGACAAAAAACUACUGUGGAGCAAGCAUAUCAAUGAAGUAAGCGAAAAAUGUUUAAAAUUUUUGAACAUUUUAAAAGUACUAACAGGGUCAUCUUGGGGAGUACAUCCUAAUCAUAUGCGAAAAUUAUAUUUAUCACUUAUUAGAAGCAGACUGGACUAUGGAAGUGGCUUGUUUGGAAAUAGUGCUCAAACACAUUUAAAAAAAUUAGACAAGGUUCAAAAUCAGGCUUUAAGAAUCAUAGGAGGUUUCCUUAAGAGCACGCCCAUACAUGUGAUGGAGAGUGAAUUAAGUAUACCUCCCCUGUAUAUAAGAAGAGUUCAGUUGACAUACAAACAUUGUUUGAAAUUUCAAUCAAUUUCAGAAAACGAAAGUGUAAACCUUCUUGAUAAGUUAAGUACUCUGUGUCAAUUUAAAUACUGGAAGAAAAAAAAGAAA
Plodia interpunctella (Indianmeal moth) is the source of this 1129-nucleotide long non-coding RNA. RefSeq lists it as uncharacterized. The record is from RefSeq and is a predicted model, not a curated record. NCBI's taxonomy places the organism in Eukaryota, Metazoa, Arthropoda, Insecta, Lepidoptera, Pyralidae. The transcript has 2 exons.